GACGAACGCUGGCGGCGUGCCUAAUACAUGCAAGUUGAGCGCUGAAGGUUGGUACUUGUACCGACUGGAUGAGCAGCGAACGGGUGAGUAACGCGUGGGGAAUCUGCCUUUGAGCGGGGACAACAUUUGGAAACGAAUGCUAAUACCGCAUAAAAACUUUAAACACAAGUUUUAAGUUUGAAAGAUGCUAUUGCAUCACUCAAAGAUGAUCCCGCGUUGUAUUAGCUAGUUGGUGAGGUAAAGGCUCACGAAGGCGAUGAUACAUAGCCGACCUGAGAGGGAGAUCGGCCACAUUGGGACUGAGACACGGCCCAAACUCCUACGGGAGGCAGCAGUAGGGAAUCUUCGGCAAUGGACGAAAGUCUGACCGAGCAACGCCGCGUGAGUGAAGAAGGUUUUCGGAUCGUAAAACUCUGUUGGUAGAGAAGAACGUUGGUGAGAGUGGAAAGCUCAUCAAGUGACGGUAACUACCCAGAAAGGGACGGCUAACUACGUGCCAGCAGCCGCCGUAA
RNAcentral lists this ribosomal RNA (512 nucleotides) under uncultured bacterium. RNAcentral's name for it is "partial 16S ribosomal RNA". It matches the Rfam family "Bacterial small subunit ribosomal RNA", at positions 28 to 523 of the family's 1533-position model. The record is from RNAcentral.